Molecule: ribosomal RNA, 253 nt
Filed under: uncultured bacterium
Lineage: Bacteria
Description: partial 16S ribosomal RNA
Rfam family: Bacterial small subunit ribosomal RNA
Source: RNAcentral
UACGUAGGGGGCAAGCGUUGUCCGGAUUUAUUGGGCGUAAAGAGCGUGUAGGCGGCUAGGUAGGUCCGUUGUGAAAACUCGAGGCUUAACCUCGAGCUGUCGGCGGAAACCAUCUGGCUAGAGUCCGGAAGAGGAGAAUGGAAUUCCCGGUGUAGCGGUGAAAUGCGCAGAUAUCGGGAAGAACACCCGUGGCGAAGGCGGUUCUCUGGGACGGUACUGACGCUGAGACGCGAAAGCGUGGGGAGCAAACAGG